Long non-coding RNA from Echinops telfairi (small Madagascar hedgehog), 393 nucleotides. RefSeq lists it as uncharacterized. Lineage: Eukaryota; Metazoa; Chordata; Mammalia; Afrosoricida; Tenrecidae. The record is from RefSeq and is a predicted model, not a curated record. The transcript has 4 exons.
UCAAAGCCCAAGCAGUCUCCCCAGAGCGCAGUUUCCUGACUUGUGCCUUGUGCGUCUGAUGAGAAGAUGUGGUUUCAGCUGAAGGGGAACUCAAGGAAUCAGGAGGGGAGGACAUUGAUCAAAAAUUCCCUCAGGUCAUCUGAGUAAAGGAGGCCAGGGUACUACCAGGAGUGAAGAAGAGAACAGGAAAUAUCUACCAAUACCUAGCACAUACUCCAGAAAGAGGUAUUUUCAGGGGCAGAUCAUCCAAGAGGACAGGAAACAAGAGAACCAAAACAGAAAACCUGGUCAUCAUGUCUCAUUCUCCUGACCAACAUGGCGAUACACUAGAACAAAGCCUUCAGCCCCCAAUGGAGGCACCAGACCUGGUGGAGGCACCGGAUCUGGUGGAGG